UUGCGCACUUUAUCCGGGUAUCUUAGCAACGAACCAGAAAUAGAUAAUGAAAACAGUCUGCAUUUAAGUUUACACCUGUACAUACCUGUUAAGUAAGUGUUUUAUUGAUUUAUGUUUUGUCAUACAAAGUAUGGAUUUUAGGAUAACAAUACAAUUGCAAGACAAUAUUGGAUUACCUGUCAAGCGUAUUCGAGUACUGACUUACAUGAUGGAUGUGCGAAAGGAUCACGUAGCCGUUUAAAAAUGACUUUUGGUACGGAUAUUCCGGUGACGCUGGGAAGCGUCGACUCUGAUGCCCUCAAAGAUUGUUUGCUGGACCGAAAAGACACCAAGACUCGACUGCCUGUGUAAGAGGUUGUCUGAUCGGUCGGGGUCUUCACCGAAGUCAGGAUUAAUACAUUACACUGUAUAAUUUACUCAACAUAUAUGAAGAUAUCUCAAGUAAUUUCAAAUCAAGCAGUAAAUUAUAAUCAUAAUGCAUUUCCAUAGAUGAAACGGUCAAAUGCAUAUUUGUUAAUCGUCGAACGAAAUCGUUAUAUGACGGAAAUUCAUUAUUUUAUCUGAAUAUAUGGAAUAAAGAUUAUUGUUUUAUAUUGUUGCCCUUUUUUUGUUUCUCUCAAAAGUUGCAACUUUCUGUUAUUAUGAAGCUAAAAACCCGCAACGGAAAGCGAGAGAAUAUUUAAACGUCAGAUUAUGUUUUAAGAACAUCGAAUAUAACCAUUCAAAAAAACAGAUGCACAACCCGCACUGUGAUUGAAACGCCCUUUCGGAAUGAACGAAAUAAAAAAAAACCAUUGAAAUAAGCGGAACGAAACAGCAAAGAACGCUAAUGCUAAUUUAGCCAAAUACACGACAGCCAAAAUAAAAAGCGGUAAUAGAAAAUAGUAGAGGUUGGGAGUACUAGCUACCGUUACCACAACCACCAU
Long non-coding RNA from Mizuhopecten yessoensis (Yesso scallop), 926 nucleotides. RefSeq lists it as uncharacterized. Lineage: Eukaryota; Metazoa; Mollusca; Bivalvia; Pectinida; Pectinidae. The transcript is spliced from 3 exons. The record is from RefSeq and is a predicted model, not a curated record.